Long non-coding RNA from Alexandromys fortis (reed vole), 1080 nucleotides. RefSeq lists it as uncharacterized. NCBI's taxonomy places the organism in Eukaryota, Metazoa, Chordata, Mammalia, Rodentia, Cricetidae. The record is from RefSeq and is a predicted model, not a curated record. The transcript is spliced from 4 exons.
GCGAUCUCUAUUGGGUACUGGGAUGGCUCUAUGCUGGGGAAUGGCCAAGAGUUUGGACACCGGGGUCGGAGAGCUCUGGGUUCAUGCCCAGAGUUUCAUUCUUAUAACUGAGAGAGCUCAGGAUCCUUGACUCGGUGCAAAAAUAAUAAAUACAGGCCAACACAGAAGACGGGAGGAGGCUAAACGGGAACAGCGGGUCCAGGCAGGACUGUCGUCAGAUGAAGUGCCUCAGCCGCCUUGGCAACGGGAGCGAGUAAAUCGACCAUGCUUUUAUUUUUGGAUGCUUUUACAUCAUGGGUAUCGAAGUCACAAGUGUCACAUGAUGGAAGGACCUUUGAGUCACCCCUUCAGUGGAGGACUGAUCAAUCUAGAACAUUCAUGCUGCGCUUUGAGUUCUCGGGGUGCAGGCAAACGGAAACCCAGAUCUCUGCUCGGAGAUCAAACACACCCUGGACAUGCCUGAAAGGGGUCAGAAAAAUUAAAUGAGAUAAAUGAGCAGAGAGGACUGAGUGAAUGUCUUUGAUUUGUGCAAGAGAGCCAUAAAAAUAAAAUCUCUGGGGCCAUUUCAUCUUACAUCAGAAACCAAGCUUGCCUCCCACUACACAGGGUCAGCAUGGAGUCUCUCUCAAAUGUUCAAGAAAGGGGGCUGAAGGCCCGGGCACAUGAAAGCAGAUUUGACUGAACCUGUGAUGAAUGGCUUUCAGAACAUUGGAUCCUGGUGCUAUGAGCGUGCCUAACAAAGCCUUUUCCCUCGCGUGUCCCAGCUGUAGGACAAUAGCCCCAACUGGAGCUGUUACAUUGGGGGUGCCUUGCACGGAAAACAAAUGAGUUUGGAGAGAACACUCUGAGAUGGACUGACUUCUGUUGGCACCACAUUUCAGAAAAGCCCAAGGCUUUUUAUUCCCCCUCCUUUUCUCCUUGGGCUAGCUGGCCCAUAUGGGUGACACCGAUGACAACGACGAAUUCCACAUUUGUAUCCAUAGCCCAUGCUCUCCUCUGCAUGUCCCCAAAGUCUGCUCCACAUCACCACUUGAAUAUCUCACUGACCUCCUGUUUGUCCUCUGAGUUGCUUCUGGUGAA